UGCGUAGGUGGUGAGGUAAGUCGGAUGUGAAAGCUCGGAGCUCAACUCCGAAAUGGCAUUGGAAACUACCUUGCUCGAGGGUUGGAGGGGGGACUGGAAUACUUGGUGUAGCAGUGAAAUGCGUAGAUAUCAAGUGGAACACCAGUGGCGAAGGCGAGUCCCUGGACAACUCCUGACACUGAGGCACGAAAAGCUAGGGGAGCAAACA
RNAcentral lists this ribosomal RNA (208 nucleotides) under uncultured bacterium. RNAcentral describes it as "partial 16S ribosomal RNA". It matches the Rfam family "Bacterial small subunit ribosomal RNA", at positions 568 to 774 of the family's 1533-position model. The record is from RNAcentral.